This 70-nucleotide transfer RNA is filed under the name Paragonimus westermani. RNAcentral describes it as "tRNA-Phe". The record is from RNAcentral. Lineage: Eukaryota; Metazoa; Platyhelminthes; Trematoda; Plagiorchiida; Troglotrematidae.
CUUCGCCUAGCUUACGUUAUAAAGCAUCAGCUUGAAGAGCUGAGGAAAUGUGGUGUCAUCAUGGGGAAGG